AUGCCUGGGCCAGCAGCCAGCUUACAAAGGAAGAGACCGGUGCCGGCCAGCGAGCUCCCGGGAAACAGACCCCGGCGCCGCCCCCAGUGCACAGCAACCCAGCUCGCAGCCCCCGCUGCCCAGAGGUGCAGGGCAGGCCACGGCUCCUCGGCCUCAGUGCCCUCAUCUUUUAAAUGGGCACAGUGCUUUCUGGGGAGAGGGAGAGAGAGAGCUUCACCUCCCGCCCCCCAGAAGAGACGGAGACCCCACUCUGCUGCUAAACUGAUGAACAUUCCUGGCCCCCGCGGUCCUCCCCAGAGGGCCACGCCUCCACGCCUCUGUCUGCCGCCUCUGCCCGCGCGGCACCUGCCAGCCGGCUCCGAGGGCCUGGUGGUGGCUCCCCUUCAACGGGACUCCCCGGAAGCCUCUCUCUCGGCUUCAGCUCCUGCCCACGCUCUCCCGACUUCUUCACGGCUGGGAUCCCUUGACGUCCCCCCCCCCCCCGUGCCAUUUCCCAACCCACAGCAGCCUGGCUUGUCCUUUCUCUCCUGUGCUCACAGCCCUUCCCCGCCAGGUUCAGAAGUUGACCCUGUCGCUGCAACCUGUGUGUGUCUCCUGAGAGCAGCCCUGGGCCUCAGCUGUCCCCAGAUCCACUGUGCCCAGCAUGGGACACCCUCUGUGGGGUUCCGUGUGGAUGAGGCACGUCCCUGGGGGCCAGGGCAAGGGGAGGGGCAGCCUGGAGCUGUGACUCAGAUUUACCUUCAGAGGGGCCCCGUGGGGUGGGUGGCAGACAGGAGUGGGGACAGAGGUGCCCAGAGACACCGCUUUGAAUACCAGCUGAAGCAGCCGGGUUCCGGGGUGGGGGUGGGGCUACCCAUCGUUAGCAGGAGCUGCGGGGAAGGAGCUGGUGGCGGGGAGCGGGCAGAAUCUGGGGCUUGGCGCCUGCUGUCCCCACCCGGUGCGGCUCCCCUGACCUCUGUACCCGCAGAAGCCUCAUCCCUGACGCUGGGACCCAGGGAUGGACGGCGAGCCGGGGGGCAGGGGCACGGGGAUGCCUGGCUCCUCUGCACUGCCUCAGUUUCCCCUCUGUACAGAGGCACUGAUGAGGCCCAGCCUCCCUCUGGGCUCAGUUCUCAGCUGAGGUCUGGCUGUGACUGUUGGCAGUGCCACUCUCGGAGCCAGUAUGAGACCUGUCCCCGGCCUGCGGCCCUGGACAGACAGUGA
This 1203-nucleotide long non-coding RNA is filed under the name Oryctolagus cuniculus (rabbit). RNAcentral describes it as "lncRNA (ENSOCUG00000035796.1)". Lineage: Eukaryota; Metazoa; Chordata; Mammalia; Lagomorpha; Leporidae. The record is from RNAcentral.